This is a non-coding RNA of Eimeria maxima, 73 nucleotides long. Lineage: Eukaryota; Apicomplexa; Conoidasida; Eucoccidiorida; Eimeriidae. The record is from Rfam.
GCACCAGUGGCGCAAUGGAUAGCGCGCAGCCCUCCUAAGGCUGAGGUUGUGGGUUCGAGUCCCAUCUGGUGUG